Molecule: unclassified non-coding RNA, 377 nt
Filed under: uncultured Actinomycetes bacterium
Lineage: Bacteria; Bacillati; Actinomycetota; Actinomycetes
Description: uncultured actinobacterium contains 16S-23S intergenic spacer region
Source: RNAcentral
UCCGAUUUGUCACCGGCAGUCUCCCUAGAGUCCCCGGCAUGACCCGCUGGCAACAUGGGACAGGGGUUGCGCUCGUUGCGCCACUUAAGGCAACACCUCACGACACGAGCUGACGACAGCCAUGCAGCACCUGUGCUAGCCCCUUACGGACACGGGCUUUCACCCGCUUUAACUAGCAUGUCAAGCCCAGGUAAGGUUCUUCGCGUUGCGUCGAAUUAAACCACAUGCUCCGCUGCUUGUGCGGGCCCCCGUCAAUUCCUUUGAGUUUUAGCCUUGCGGCCGUACUCCCCAGGCGGGGCGCUUAAUGCGUUAGCUGCGGCACGGAACUCGUGGAAUGAGUCCCACACCUAGCGCCCAACGUUUACGGUGUGGACUAC